This 2590-nucleotide long non-coding RNA is filed under the name Canis lupus familiaris (dog). RNAcentral describes it as "lncRNA (ENSCAFG00845016948.1)". Lineage: Eukaryota; Metazoa; Chordata; Mammalia; Carnivora; Canidae. The record is from RNAcentral.
AGUAAUAAACUAAUUUUUAUUUCUUUUUUUUCUAUUUUUUUAUUUUUUUACUAAUUUUUAUUUCUUUGCAAACAGAUAUGUCUUUGUAGGCAUGCCAGCAUUUAAUUAGUUUGUUACAAAAAUAAAAUUGCACAUAAAGAAAUUAACCGUAUACGUGGAGUAUGGUAAGAAUACCGCAAAUGUUGCCAUGGGGAGGCAUGAAGCUCUCAGUUAUUUGUUCAAGUGACUCUAAUUUCACUUUUUAAAUUAAUAAAGAAAGCUGAAUCGUAUCCAUGUCUCCGUUUGCUUUAGUGUUGAUAACCAUCAUGCGAGAAAGAUUGCUGUUUUUAUAAAUGUGAUAACUAGCUUCCAAAACAGUCUCCAGUGAUCCUCACCUUUUGCUAUUCACUUUCUUACAUGGUCCCCCCCAACCCCAACAUCAAAGCAAAAUAAGAAAAUAUUUUUAUUUAAUGGCUUUUCAUUUAGCAGCAGGAUCUUGAGAAACCAAAUCGGGUCGUUAAGUGUGAGGAAUGGGCAGAGAGCCCUGCCUUGUCGUCUGACUACACAUGCGACCACGAUCUGCCCAGGAUCUCCAGACAGGCAGUUCCAGAUGGGACGUGGAGUUUUAGUCACUACACGCAGAUGGAUGUGACCCCAGCCGAAUGGCACCGUUUCACUGAUAACAGAACAGCAAUGUUGGAGGAUGUUUCCAAGAUACCAAGAGGAGGUCAGUCUCCAUGCUGGUGCGUGUGUGCCCGUGAGUGCAUAACUGGAGGAGGGAUCUGUGGGAGGGGAGGAGGGAGAGAGGGGAUCUGUGGGAACGCCAACUCACAGCAACAGGAGUGGGGAGACAGUAGAGCCACAGAGAGACCAGGUGUUGGAGAAGAGUCCCUGGGGGCCACAUUGAGCUCAGCUCUGAGGAACAGCAGGUGUUGGGGCUCAGGCGGCAGCUGGGGGGCUUUCAGCAGGGGCUCUGGUGGCCAUGAGCACAUCCUCACCUGGGUUCAAGUACCCACCCGGGCCUGUCCCACAGAGACCUCUAUGACCCAUUCCCUGGCCAGGUGUAGCUGAAGGUGGCCUGGAAGCCCAGGGAAGUGGCCACCUUCAGCUACAAUGCCCAGCUCCAGGACACAGAAACGCAGCAGCAGCACCAACAGAGUUUUCCAGGGGCAUCUGCUGGAGGCAGCCAGCACUGUCAGAAAGGUGCACGUCCCUGAACUGACAGGGUUCAGCCCUGUGCGAUUGGCUGUGAUGACCAGGGUGGCUGCUCCUACAAUGAGGAACGGCCUUCCACGGGCAAGCGGGGGCCAGUAGGUGGUGGGAUUGUGGCAGCUGAUAGGUGUGGCCUGUGAGGCAUUAGAGCUUCUGCCUUUGUCCCUUAGAGUCCUCAUUCUGAGCAAAACGACUUCCAUGUCAUGAACACAUUGAACACAUUUAAGGGUUCCGUGGAGAGGACCGUGGGGAGGACCUGAGUCCUCGUGCCGGGAACCUGUAGCAACUCAACAGUCGUGUGAGCAAAUCGGUCACCUUGAAGGCAGAGUCUCAUCUCGUCUCAGUCUUUAGACGAUGGCAGCCCCAGCCAACACCUUGAUUGCAGUCAUAAAAGGUCAUGGGCCAAAUCACCCAUCAAGCCGAUUGCUGUUGGGGGUACUGUACUGUAGGACAAUAGAUAACUAACCCAGAUCGUGGUAUCAAAAAAAAAAAAUAUGCUUCCACUUCAACAACAACAACAACAACAACAACAAGAUAAAACUGGAACUAGAAAUGUGGAAGUGGCGUUUGGAGCAGCCUCCAGCUAGAACAGAAAGUGGAGAGGAGAGUUCAUCAGAGUUUAGAGAUCUUUGCGCACAAUGCUGGCAGGAGCCUGGUGGAAUUGAGGUGUUGCUAGAGCUAAAGGAAAAGGGAGGAUAACUUUGGCAGGAAAUUUUAGAGUCGAGAGGAUUGUUGCGAAGUAGAGACAGAAAUACUGCUGUUGGCAUCAACGUGGAAAGUAGAAGACACAAUGAAUGAACUGGGUGAUCAGGUUAGGGGGCUUUCCAGGCAGUGUUGUAGGUGCAGCCCAGCUUCUCCUUGUUGCGUAGAGUAAAAUGAGAGAAGAAUGAGAAUAACAUCAAGGGAGAAAAAAAAAAAAAAACAAGAAAAUUUAGACAUAAAGGAGCUGGAAUGUGCUUAGUUUGAGAAUUUCAGGUUCUCAGAUAGCAGGUAAAUCUGAUAUUAAGAAAUAGUUCUUAGGGGCACCUGGGGCUCAUUCAGCUAAGCAUCUGCCUUCAGCUCAGGUCAUGAUUCCAGGGUCUUAGGAUCCAGCCCCGCAUUGGGCUCCCUGCUCAGCGGGGGUCUGCUUCUCCCUCUCCCUCUGCCUGCCUCUCAUUCCCUCUCUUUCUCAAAUAAAUUAAAAAAAAAAAAAUCUUUAGGAAACAGUUCUCAAAGAUCAAGAGGAAACUGAGUCCCACAGCUUCUAACUAUUGUUUUAGCCUAAAAGAAGAAAAGAAUAAAUUAAGGCAAAGUGAUAUUUGCAGAAAUUCUUCAUAGGUCUGAGGAAAGUGCAAAGACCUGACAUGAGACAGUAUAAAAUCGUCUCAACAGGAUACAUGAAAAAAAAAAAAAAAAAAAA